Molecule: ribosomal RNA, 253 nt
Filed under: uncultured bacterium
Lineage: Bacteria
Description: partial 16S ribosomal RNA
Rfam family: Bacterial small subunit ribosomal RNA
Source: RNAcentral
UACGUAGGGAGCAAGCGUUGUCCGGAAUCAUUGGGCGUAAAGCGCGCGUAGGCGGCCCUGUAAGUCCGUUGUGAAAGUCAAAGGCUCAACCUUUGAAAGCCGAUGGAUACUGCAGGGCUAGAGUCCGGAAGAGGCGAGUGGAAUUCCCGGUGUAGCGGUGAAAUGCGCAGAUAUCGGGAGGAACACCAAUGGCGAAGGCAGCUCGCUGGGACGUUACUGACGCUGAGACGCGAAAGCGUGGGGAGCAAACAGG